Molecule: ribosomal RNA, 1206 nt
Filed under: denitrifying bacterium enrichment culture clone NOB_0_D6
Lineage: Bacteria
Description: bacterial SSU rRNA
Rfam family: Bacterial small subunit ribosomal RNA
Source: RNAcentral
AACAAUGGUUACCGCACCGGUAAAGGAACUGAAGAGGGUGUCCUAGCCAAUUGCAUUGAAAAGCCAUACACCUACCGGGUGGCAGGCAGUAGGAAUAUGGCAAUGGGCGAAGCUGACCAGCAACGCCGCGUGCACGAUGAAGGCCUUUCGGUCGUAAAGUGCUUUUCUGAGGAAUGAGUAAAGGACAGUACCUCAGGAAUAAGCCUCGGGCUAACUACGUGCCAGCAGCCGCGGUAAAACGUAGGAGGCAAGCGUUAUCCGGGAUUUACUGGGCGUAAAGCGUGUGUAGGCGGUUCGGCAAGUUGGAUGUGAAAGCUCCUGGCUUAACUAGGAGAGGUCGUUCAAUACUACCGAACUUGAGGGCAUCAGAGGAAGGUGGAAUUCCCGGUGUAGUGGUGAAAUGCGUAGAUAUCGGGAGGAACACCAGUGGCGAAGGCGGCCUUCUGGGAUGUUCCUGACGCUCAGACACGAAAGCUAGGGUAGCGAACGGGAUUAGAGACCCCGGUAGUCCUAGCAGUAAACGAUGUAGACUUGGUGUCGGAGGUGUCAAAACCUUCGGUAUCGUAGCUAACGCGAUAAGUCUACCGCCUGGGGACUACGGCCGCAAGGUUAAAACUCAAAGGAAUUGACGGGGGCCCGCACAAGCAGCGGAGCGUGUGGUUUAAUUCGAUGUUACACGAAGAACCUUACCCAGGUUUGACAUGUUGGUGGUAGGAAUCCGAAAGGUGACCGACCCGCAAGGGAGCCUUCACAGGUGCUGCAUGGCUGUCGUCAGCUCGUGUCGUGAGAUGUUCGGUUAAGUCCGCUAACGAGCGCAACCCUCGCCGUAUGUUACAUGUGUCAUGCGGGACCGCCGGUAUCAAGCCGGAGGAAGGUGGGGAUGACGUCAAGUCAGCAUGGCCUUUAUAUCUGGGGCUACACACACGCUACAAUGGCCGGUACAAUGGGUCGCUAAGCCGCGAGGUAGAGCCAAUCCCGCAAAGCCGGUCUCAGUUCAGAUCACAGGCUGCAACCCGCCUGUGUGAAGUUGGAGUUGCUAGUAAACGCGCGUCAGCUAUAGUGCGUUGAAUACGUUCUCGGGCCUUGUACACACCGCCCGUCACGUCAUGGGAGCUGGUAACACCUGAAGCCGGUAGCCUAACCGCAAGGAGGGCGCUGUCGAAGGUGGUGCUGGUGACUGGGACGAAGUCGUAACAAGGUAGCCGU